AGGGAAUCUUCCGCAAUGGACGAAAGUCUGACGGAGCAACGCCGCGUGAGUGAUGAAGGUUUUCGGAUCGUAAAGCUCUGUUGCCAGGGAAGAACGUCCGUUAGAGUAACUGCUAACGGAGUGACGGUACCUGCGAAGAAAGCCCCGGCUAACUACGUGCCAGCAGCCGCGGUAAUACGUAGGGGGCGAGCGUUGUCCGGAAUUAUUGGGCGUAAAGCGCGCGCAGGCGGCUGUUUAAGUCUGGUGGUUAAUCCUGGGGCUCACCCCCGGGUCGCACUGGAAACUGGACGGCUUGAGUGCAGAAGAGGAGAGUGGAAUUCCACGUGUAGCGGUGAAAUGCGUAGAGAUGUGGAGGAACACCAGUGGCGAAGGCGACUCUCUGGGCUGUAACUGACGCUGAGGCGCGAAAGCGUGGGGAGCAAAC
Molecule: ribosomal RNA, 424 nt
Filed under: uncultured bacterium
Lineage: Bacteria
Description: bacterial SSU rRNA
Rfam family: Bacterial small subunit ribosomal RNA
Source: RNAcentral